CAGUAGCCACGGUAAUACGAAGGGGGCUAGCGUUGUCCGGAAUUAUUGGGCGUAAAGGGCUCGCAGGCGGUUUCUUAAGUCUGAUGUGAAAGCCCCCGGCUCAACCGGGGAGGGUCGUUGGAAACUGGGAAACUUGAGUGCAGAAGAGGAGAGUGGAAUUCCACGUGUAGCGGUGAAAUGCGUAGAGAUGUGGAGGAACACCAGUGGCGAAGGCGACUCUCUGGUCUGUAACUGACGCUGAGGAGCGAAAGCGUGGGGAGCGAACAGGAUUAGAGACCCGAGUAGUCCCUGUCUCUUAUAC
This 301-nucleotide ribosomal RNA is filed under the name uncultured bacterium. RNAcentral's name for it is "partial 16S ribosomal RNA". It matches the Rfam family "Bacterial small subunit ribosomal RNA", at positions 509 to 807 of the family's 1533-position model. The record is from RNAcentral.